UUGAACGCUGGCGGCAGGCCUAACACAUGCAAGUCGAGCGCGAAAGGUUUUCGGACUGAGUAAAGCGGCGGACGGGUGAGUAACGCGUGGGAAUCUGCCCAGUAGUGGGGGACAACAGUCGGAAACGACUGCUAAUACCGCAUACGCCCUACGGGGGAAAGGGGGGGAUCUUCGGACCUCUCGCUAUUGGAUGAGCCCGCGUCGGAUUAGCUAGUUGGUAGGGUAAAGGCCUACCAAGGCUACGAUCCGUAACUGGUCUGAGAGGAUGAUCAGUCACACUGGAACGGAGACACGGUCCAGACUCCUACGGGAGGCAGCAGUGGGGAAUAUUGGACAAUGGGGGCAACCCUGAUCCAGCCAUGCCGCGUGUGUGAAGAAGGCCUUAGGGUUGUAAAGCACUUUCAGUGGGGAGAAAGGCUUGUCACCUAAUACGUGAUGAAAUUGAUGUUACCCACAGAAGAAGCACCGGCUAACUCCGUGCCAGCAGCCGCGGUAA
This 496-nucleotide ribosomal RNA is filed under the name uncultured bacterium. RNAcentral's name for it is "partial 16S ribosomal RNA". It matches the Rfam family "Bacterial small subunit ribosomal RNA", at positions 30 to 523 of the family's 1533-position model. The record is from RNAcentral.